AACGAACGCUGGCGGCAGGCCUAACACAUGCAAGUCGAACGGUCAUAGCAAUAUGAUAGUGGCGCACGGGUGAGUAACGCGUGGGAAUAUACCCUUUAGUAUGGAAUAACCUCGGGAAACUGGGAUUAAUACCAUAUACGCCCUUCGGGGGAAAGAUUUAUCGCUAAAGGAUUAGCCCGCGUGAGAUUAGGUAGUUGGUGGGGUAAUGGCCUACCAAGCCUACGAUCUCUAGCUGGUCUGAGAGGAUGAUCAGCCACACUGGAACUGAGACACGGUCCAGACUCCUACGGGAGGCAGCAGUGGGAAUAUUGGGCAAUGGGCGCAAGCCUGACCCAGCCAUGCCGCGUGUGUGAUGAAGGCCCUAGGGUUGUAAAGCACUUUCGUUGGUGACGAUAAUGACGGUAACCAAAGAAGAAGCCCCGGCUAACUUCGUGCCAGCCGCCGCCGUAA
This 450-nucleotide ribosomal RNA is filed under the name uncultured bacterium. RNAcentral describes it as "partial 16S ribosomal RNA". It matches the Rfam family "Bacterial small subunit ribosomal RNA", at positions 29 to 523 of the family's 1533-position model. The record is from RNAcentral.